UGGGGAAUCUUGCGCAAUGGGCGAAAGCCUGACGCAGCCAUGCCGCGUGAAUGAUGAAGGUCUUAGGAUUGUAAAAUUCUUUCACCGGGGACGAUAAUGACGGUACCCGGAGAAGAAGCCCCGGCUAACUUCGUGCCAGCAGCCGCGGUAAUACGAAGGGGGCUAGCGUUGCUCGGAAUUACUGGGCGUAAAGGGAGCGUAGGCGGACAUUUAAGUCAGGGGUGAAAUCCCGGGGCUCAACCUCGGAAUUGCCUUUGAUACUGGGUGUCUUGAGUGUGAGAGAGGUAUGUGGAACUCCGAGUGUAGAGGUGAAAUUCGUAGAUAUUCGGAAGAACACCAGUGGCGAAGGCGACAUACUGGCUCAUUACUGACGCUGAGGCUCAAAGCGUGGGGAGCAAACAGGAUUAGAUACCCUGGUAGUCCACGCCGUAAACGAUGAUUGCUAGUUGUCGGGAUGCAUGCAUUUCGGUGACGCAGCUAACGCAUUAAGCAAUCCGCCUGGGGAGUACGGUCGC
RNAcentral lists this ribosomal RNA (515 nucleotides) under uncultured bacterium. RNAcentral describes it as "partial 16S ribosomal RNA". It matches the Rfam family "Bacterial small subunit ribosomal RNA", at positions 355 to 889 of the family's 1533-position model. The record is from RNAcentral.